RNAcentral lists this transfer-messenger RNA (363 nucleotides) under Escherichia coli. It matches the Rfam family "transfer-messenger RNA". From Rfam's summary of the family: Bacterial tmRNA, also known as 10Sa RNA or SsrA, is named for its dual tRNA and mRNA-like properties. Its role is to liberate the mRNA from a stalled ribosome. Lineage: Bacteria; Pseudomonadati; Pseudomonadota; Gammaproteobacteria; Enterobacterales; Enterobacteriaceae. The record is from RNAcentral.
GGGGCUGAUUCUGGAUUCGACGGGAUUUGCGAAACCCAAGGUGCAUGCCGAGGGGCGGUUGGCCUCGUAAAAAGCCGCAAAAAAUAGUCGCAAACGACGAAAACUACGCUUUAGCAGCUUAAUAACCUGCUUAGAGCCCUCUCUCCCUAGCCUCCGCUCUUAGGACGGGGAUCAAGAGAGGUCAAACCCAAAAGAGAUCGCGUGGAAGCCCUGCCUGGGGUUGAAGCGUUAAAACUUAAUCAGGUUAGUUUGUUAGUGGCGUGUCCGUCCGCAGCUGGCAAGCGAAUGUAAAGACUGACUAAGCAUGUAGUACCGAGGAUGUAGGAAUUUCGGACGCGGGUUCAACUCCCGCCAGCUCCACCA